UUCUUGGUGGCUCGAUUGGUGAGAGCGUUGGACUGGUGAUUCGAAGUUUGCAGGUUCGAGUCCUGCUCGAGGAG
This is a non-coding RNA of Harmonia axyridis, 74 nucleotides long. The record is from the annotation of a RefSeq genome assembly. NCBI's taxonomy places the organism in Eukaryota, Metazoa, Arthropoda, Insecta, Coleoptera, Coccinellidae.